AAUGCUGUCAAUUAGUUGAUUCCGUAAAAGAAUAUCGGAGAGUAUCCAAUCUAAACACAUCAUAAAUGUGUAAAAAUGUUUCAUGGAAAAAACACAACAAACAAACAAAGACAAAUACCAACACCAUCACCACGGUGAUAACAGAUAAUGCUGAUUCAAUAUCUACAACCAAUUCUAGCCAAAUAUUUGGAAAGCUGGACUCUACAACCUAAACUCUACAACAAAUACCCGGGUAUUCUACAAACACAACCUCCAGCAAUGUAUCUAAGGAAUGUAAACUUCUACAGGCCUUUGAAGACUUU
Molecule: non-coding RNA, 302 nt
Organism: Pelobates cultripes (western spadefoot toad)
Lineage: Eukaryota; Metazoa; Chordata; Amphibia; Anura; Pelobatidae
Source: the annotation of a GenBank genome assembly